Neofelis nebulosa (Clouded leopard) is the source of this 831-nucleotide long non-coding RNA. RefSeq lists it as uncharacterized. Lineage: Eukaryota; Metazoa; Chordata; Mammalia; Carnivora; Felidae. The record is from RefSeq and is a predicted model, not a curated record. The transcript has 5 exons.
CUCCAGACCUGCACUUUGGAGUCUGAGCUGACAUGUAAGAAGUCCAACUACCCUGAAACUGCCCUACCGGAGAGACCAGAUAGAGAGACACAUGGAGAGAGACGUUAGAGGAUCCCUCAGAUCUUGAAUCUUCCCAGCAUCGACAAGCAAGCCUGUGAGUGGGUGAGCUAUAUUAGAGGACGUUUAUACUUUGGGAAACGGAUCCAGGAGAAAGAAGACUGAUGUGUUGAAAGAAGGUACUUCUAUGUAUGUUCCAUGGAGUCAAGGACAUUGGUUACUGCUGGAUCCCCAACUCUUACAACAGUGUCUGGCACACAGAAGGAGUGAAACAGAUCGAACGUCACAUGACAACAGUGCCCUCUAGAGGAAUGCUUUUCAAAUUGCAAUGGUGCCCUCUAUCUGGUAUUGGCAGCACCAGUACCUUCCAUCACACUGGCUCUUCUUCCAACGUGACUUCGUCACUGCACCCAUCAACAGCCUUGGAGCCCUGAGCUACCUGUAAUGUAAUCAGUUCAACUGCCCUGAAGCUGCCACGCUGGGAGGAAGCCCACACUAGCCCAUGGGGAGACUACAUGAGAAAGAGUCCAGCCCUACCCUCUCCCCGUCCAGUCACUAACUGACUACAACCACUUAGAGACCUAAGUCAGAACAGCCCUGCCAAGCCCUUCUCAAACUCCUGUACCACAGAAAACAUGAGAGGUAAUAAAACCAUUGGUGCUGUUUUAAAACACUAACUUUUGGGGUAACUUGUUAUGCAGCAAUAGAUCAUGACCCAAUAGUGGGUCAUGAAUUCAAUUUGGUGUGUCAUGACCGGUAUGUCUAAAAACUAAG